RNAcentral lists this ribosomal RNA (439 nucleotides) under uncultured bacterium. Its description in RNAcentral is "partial 16S ribosomal RNA". It matches the Rfam family "Bacterial small subunit ribosomal RNA", at positions 339 to 795 of the family's 1533-position model. The record is from RNAcentral.
CUACGGGAUGCAGCAGUGAGGAAUAUUGCACAAUGGGGGGAACCCUGAUGCAGCAACGCCGCGUGGAGGAUGACGCAUUUCGGUGUGUAAACUCCUUUUAUAUGUCAAGAAAAUGACGGUAGCAUAUGAAUAAGCACCGGCUAACUCCGUGCCAGCAGCCGCGGUAAUACGGAGGGUGCAAGCGUUACUCGGAAUCACUGGGCGUAAAGGACGCGUAGGCGGGUUGGAAAGUCAGGUGUGAAAUCCUACAGCUUAACUGAAGAACUGCACUUGAAACUUCUAAUCUAGAGUAUGGGAGGGGGAGAUGGAAUUCGUGGUGUAGGGGUAAAAUCCGUAGAUAUCACUAGGAAUACCUAAAGCGAAGGCGAUCUCCUGGAACAUUACUGACGCUAAGGCGUGAAAGCGUGGGGAGCAAACAGGAUUAGAUACCCUCGUAGUC